CUACAUUUAUUAAUAUAUGAGAUACCCGUUGAUAUGGUUUGGCUGUGUCCUCAUUCAGAUCUCAACUUCAAUUGUAUCUCCCAGAAUUCCCACAUGUUGUGGGAUGGACCUAGGAGGAGGUAAUUGAAUCAUAGGGGCUGGUCUUUCCUGUGCUAUUCUCAUGAUAGUGAAUAAGUCUCAUGAGAUCUAAUGGGUUUAUCAGGGGUUUCCACUUUUGCUUCUUCCUCAUUUUCUCUUGCUGCUGCCAUGUAAGAAGUCCUUUUCACCUCCCGCCAUGAUUCUGAGGCCUCCCCAGCCAUGUGGAACUGUAAGUCCAAUUAAACCUCUUUUUCUUCCCAGUCUUGGGUAUGUCUUUAUCAACAGCAUGAAAACAGACUAAUACAGUAAAUUGGGAUCAGUAGAGUGGGGCAUUGCUGAAAAGAUACCCGAAAAUUUGGAAGUGACUUUGGAACUGGGUAACAGGCAGAGAUUGGAACAGUUUGAAGGGCUCAGAAGAAGACAGGAAAAUUUGGGUAAGUUUGGAACUCCCUAGAGAUUUGUUGAAUGGCUUUGCCCAAAAUGCUGAUAGUGAUAUGGACAAUAAAAUCCAGGCUGAGGUGGCCUCAGAUGGAGAUGAGAAACUCAUUGGGAAUUUAAGCAAAGUUGAUUCUUGCUAUGUCUUAGCAAAGAGACUGGUGGUAUUUUGUCACUGCCCUGAAGAUUUGUGGAACUUUGGACUUGAGAGAGAUGAUUUAGGUAUCUGGUGGAAGAAAUUUCUAAGCAGCAAAGCAUUCAAGAUGUGACUUGGGUGCUGUUAAAGGCAUUCAGUUUUAUAAGGGAAGCAGAGCAUAAAACUUUAGAAAAUUUGCAGCCUGACUAUGCAAUAGAAAAGAAAACCCAUUUUCUGGGGAGAAAUUCAAGCUGGCUGCAGAAAUUUGCAUAAGUAGUGAGAAGCCUAAUGUUAAUCCCCAAGACCAUGGGGAAAAUGUCUCCAGGCCAUGUCAGAGACCUUCAUGGCAGCCCCUCCCAUCACAGGCCUAGAGGCCCAAGAGGAAAAAGUGGUUUUGUGGGCUGGACCCAGGAUCCCCAUGCUUUGUGCAGCUUAAGGGCUUGGUAGCCUGCACCCCAGCCUCUCCAGCCAUGGCUGAAAGGGACCAACAUAUAGCUCAGGCUGUGGCUUCAGAGGGUCAAAGCCCCAAGCCUUGGCAGCUUCCACGUGGUGUUGAGCCUGCGGGUGCACAGAAGUCAAGAACUGAGGUUUGGGAACCUCCACCUAGAUUUCAGAAGAUGUAUGGAAAUUUCUGAAUGCCCAGGCAAAAGUUUUCUGCAGGAUGGCAGCCCUCAUGGAGAACCUCUGCUAUGGCAGUGCAGAAGGGAAAUGUGGAGUUGGCGUCCCCACACAGAGUCCCUAUUGGGGCACUGCCUAGUGGAGCUGUGAGAAUAGGGCCACUGUUCUCCAGCUCCCAGAAUGAUUGAUCCACCAACAGCUUGCACCAGGCACCUGGAAAAGCCACAGACACUCAAUGCCAGCGAAGAGAAAGCAGCUGCAAAGCCACAGGGGCAGAGCUGCCUAAGACUGUGGGAACCCACCUCUUGCAUUGGUGUGACCUGGAUGUGAGACCUGGAGUCAAAGGACAUCAUUUUAGAGCUUUAAAAUUUGACUGUCCGCUGGAUUUCCGAUUUGUAUGGGCCCUGUAACCCCUUUGUUUUGGCCAAUUUCUCCCAUUUGGAAUGGCUGUAUUUACCAAAUACUUGUAUCCCCAUUGUAUUCAGGAAGUAACUAGCUUGUUUUUGAUUUUACAGGCUCAUAGGUGGAAGGGACUUGCCUUGUCUUAGAUGAGACUUUGGACUGUGGACUUUUGUGUUAAUGCUGAAAUGAGUUAAGGCUUUGAGGAACUGUUGGGAAGGCAUGAUUGGUUUUGAAAUGUGAGAACAUGAGAUUUGGAGGGGCCAGGGACAGAAUGAUGUGGUUUGGCUAUGUCCCCAUUCAAAUCUCAACUUGUAUCUCCCAAAAUUCCCACGUGUUGUGUGAGGGACCUAAGAGGACGUGAUUGAAUCAUGGAGCCGGUCUUUCCCAUGCUAUUCUCAUGAUAGUGAAUAAGUCUCACGAGAUCUGAUGGGUUUAUCAGGGGUUUCCACUUUUGCUUCUUCCUCAUUUUCUCUUGCUGCCACCAUGUAAGAAGUGCCUUUUGCCUCCCGCCAUGAUUCUGAGGCCUCCCCAACCAUGUGGAACUGUAAGUCCAAUUAAACCUCUUUCUCUUCCUAGUCUCGGGUAUUUCUUUAUCAGCAGCAUGAAAAUGCACUAAUACACCCCCAGUCACAGAAAGGGUCUAACUUGAUGUAUCAGUCCCAAGUCCCAAGCUGGCCCAGUUUCAGACAGACCUUCCCCUGGUCCAGUCAGCUAGGCUUUAGCAUCUGAGUCAUAUGGGACCAACGUGACUGUCAGGAUACAUACACUCUCUGGCUGGGGAUUUGUGGGGAGGGGAUAUGUUAAUAUUCUAUUGCUGCUAUAACAAAUGAUCACAUUUUGGCUUAACCAAUUUGAAUUUGUUAUCCUACAGUUAUAGAGGUCAACAGUCUAAUGUGGGUUUCACUGGGCUAAAAUCAAGGAGCUGGCACGGCUGUGUUCCAUUCUGGAGACUCUGGGGGAGAAUCCAUUUAUUUGCCUUCCCCAGCUCCUAGAUGCUGCCCACGUUCU
This 2677-nucleotide long non-coding RNA is filed under the name Homo sapiens (human). Its description in RNAcentral is "LHRI_LNC934.1". The record is from RNAcentral. Lineage: Eukaryota; Metazoa; Chordata; Mammalia; Primates; Hominidae.